This 460-nucleotide ribosomal RNA is filed under the name uncultured bacterium. Its description in RNAcentral is "partial 16S ribosomal RNA". It matches the Rfam family "Bacterial small subunit ribosomal RNA", at positions 338 to 795 of the family's 1533-position model. The record is from RNAcentral.
CCUACGGGGAGCAGCAGUGAGGAAUAUUGGUCAUUGGGCGUAAGCCUGAACCAGCCAACUCGCGUGAGGGAUGAAGGUUCUAUGGAUCGUAAACCUCUUUUAUAAGGGAAUAAAGUGCGGGCCUUGUCCCGUUUUCUAUGUACCUUACUAAUAAGGAUCGGCUAACUCCGUGCCAGCAGCCGCGGUACUACGGAGGAUCCGAGCGUUAUCCGGAUUUAUUGGGUUUAAAGGGUGCGUAGGCGGCCUUUUAAGUCAGCGGUGAAAGCCUGUGGCUCAACCAUAGAAUUGCCGUGGAAACUGGGAGGCUUGAGUAUGUGUGAGGCAGGCGGAAUGCGUGGUGUAGCGGUGAAAUGCUUAGAUAUCAGGCAGAACCCCGAUUGCGAAGGCAGCCUGCCAAGCCAUGACUGACGCUGAUGCACGAAAGCGUGGGGAUCAAACAGGAUUAGAUACCCUAGUAGUC